Molecule: ribosomal RNA, 292 nt
Filed under: uncultured bacterium
Lineage: Bacteria
Description: partial 16S ribosomal RNA
Rfam family: Bacterial small subunit ribosomal RNA
Source: RNAcentral
GUGCCAGCAGCCGCGGUAAUACGAAGGGGGCUAGCGUUGUUCGGAAUUACUGGGCGUAAAGGGCGCGUAGGCGGCCCGAUCAGUCAGAAGUGAAAGCCCCGGGCUCAACCUGGGAACCGCUUUUGAUACUGUCGGGCUUGAGUUCCGGAGAGGAUGGUGGAAUUCCCAGUGUAGAGGUGAAAUUCGUAGAUAUUGGGAAGAACACCGGUGGCGAAGGCGGCCAUCUGGACGGACACUGACGCUGAGGCGCGAAAGCGUGGGGAGCAAACAGGAUUAGAUACCCUAGUAGUCC